AUUGAACGCUGGCGGCAGGCUUAACACAUGCAAGUCGAGCGAGCGGCGGACGGGUGAGUAAUGUCUGGGAAACUGCCUGAUGGAGGGGGAUAACUACUGGAAACGGUAGCUAAUACCGCAUACCAUCAGAUGUGCCCAGAUGGGAUUAGCUAGUAGGUGGGGUAAUGGCUCACCUAGGCGACGCUGCCUAGCUGGUCUGAGAGGAUGACCAGCCACACUGGAACAGAGACACGGUCCAGACGCCUACGGGAGGCAGCAGUGGGGAAUAUUGGACAAUGGGAGAAAGCCUGAUACAGCCAUGCCGCGUGUAUGAAGAAGGCCUUCGGGUUGUAAAGUACUUUCAGCGAGGAGGCGUUACGCGCAGAAGAAGCACCGGCUAACUCCGUGCCAGCAGCCGCGGUAAUAC
This 406-nucleotide ribosomal RNA is filed under the name uncultured bacterium. RNAcentral's name for it is "partial 16S ribosomal RNA". It matches the Rfam family "Bacterial small subunit ribosomal RNA", at positions 30 to 526 of the family's 1533-position model. The record is from RNAcentral.